Molecule: ribosomal RNA, 491 nt
Filed under: uncultured bacterium
Lineage: Bacteria
Description: partial 16S ribosomal RNA
Rfam family: Bacterial small subunit ribosomal RNA
Source: RNAcentral
AGUGAACGCUGGCGGUAGGCCUAACACAUGCAAGUCGAACGGCAGCACAGUAAGAGCUUGCUCUUACGGGUGGCGAGUGGCGGACGGGUGAGGAAUACAUCGGAAUCUACUUUUUCGUGGGGGAUAACGUAGGGAAACUUACGCUAAUACCGCAUACGACCUACGGGUGAAAGCAGGGGAUCUUCGGACCUUGCGCGAUUGAAUGAGCCGAUGUCGGAUUAGCUAGUUGGCGGGGUAAAGGCCCACCAAGGCGACGAUCCGUAGCUGGUCUGAGAGGAUGAUCAGCCACACUGGAACUGAGACACGGUCCAGACUCCUACGGGAGGCAGCAGUGGGGAAUAUUGGACAAUGGGCGCAAGCCUGAUCCAGCCAUACCGCGUGGGUGAAGAAGGCCUUCGGGUUGUAAAGCCCUUUUGUUGGGAAAGAAAAGCAGCAGGUUAAGACCCCGCUGUUCGGACGGUACCCAAAGAAUAAGCACCGGCGAACUUCGU